GGUUUCUUUCUUUCUGCGAACAAUUUAAAACAUAAAUAAAUAUUUUUACAUAAAACGUUUAAUGCAAAAUGUUGUUAUGCAUGUAUCAAAGUUAUACAAUAGAAUAGUGAGUCAAACAAAACAUACGGUGAUUUACCUCAACUUCAUUCAUAUGGUGAUGUACCUCAACUGCACCAAUGUUGACACCAUUUUCCUGUAAAAAUUGUUUAAAUCCAUCAUAGUAGGUAUUAAGAUUAAACACUUAGAAAAAAUGGUAACACAGUCAAUCAACUAUAUCUAAUAGAUUCAGACAAAUGCUCAUGGAACUACCCAACUUAGUAUUCUAGAUAUACUCUUAGAAAUAUAAAUCAUGGAUAUAAAUGUUUACCAAAAGUUUAGAUAGUAAAAAUAGUGAUCUAAAAGAUAUAAAAUUCCAAACCACCAAUCCCAUGUGCAGAUGACAUACUAUUUGUUUUUAUGUUUUACUAUACUUUACACUUAUUGAUUUCUUUAUCAAUUUACGAAAUUAAAAAUUGAAACGCAUAUUACAAAAUGAUAAGAAUUACUUUUUUCCCUUUCUCUACGCUAAUUGCACGGAAAAUGUUUAACAACCAAAAUACAUGUAUCCCCAUUCUGAAUGAGUUCUUAUGAUUAUAGUGCUUCCAAAGAAUAUAGUAUUUUACCAAUAAUGUCUGUUUACCAAAAAAUGCAGAGGAAAGAAGGUUUUCAAGAUGUUAUCUGUAGUCAAUAUGGUACAAUAUUAAAAUGCUUAGAGUACUAGACAUCGCUCAAACCAGGAAAAAAAUAUAUACAAAAGCUCAAUAAAAUAGAUUGGCAAACAAAAUAAAGUUUGGGUAGGUAAAGCACGUACCAUAUUUUUCUCAAUCAAAAUGGAUCGAUCUAGAAAAUCACUCGACCCUAAGUCUCUGUUGAACAUUCAACUUUUCUGUCCCAAAAUACAAUUCAAGAACUCUUACAUACAAUUUUAAGAAACAAAGUCAUAUAACUCUAUAUUUUAAAUGUCAAACUAAAACCCAAUUUAGGGCCUUUAAGCAAAAACCCUAACUUCCAAUUGAAGAGUGGGAUAGCGAGAGAUAGGGGGAAAAGCAAACCUGGCCUAUGGAGAGACUAUUGUGGCGGAGGUGAUAACAAAAGGCCACCCACGGUGGUUACAGCGAGAGCAAGGCGAGACAUAGAGACGUCGUCUUCUGUUAACCGCAUAAGAGAGAAGGAAAAUGAAAA
RNAcentral lists this long non-coding RNA (1221 nucleotides) under Erythranthe guttata (spotted monkey flower). RNAcentral's name for it is "long non-coding RNA (EGUT_LNC001733)". Lineage: Eukaryota; Viridiplantae; Streptophyta; Magnoliopsida; Lamiales; Phrymaceae. The record is from RNAcentral.